GUGGGGAAUUUUGGACAAUGGGCGAAAGCCUGAUCCAGCCAUGCCGCGUGCAGGAUGAAGGCCUUCGGGUUGUAAACUGCUUUUGUACGGAACGAAAAGACUUCUUCUAAUACAGGAGGUCCAUGACGGUACCGUAAGAAUAAGCACCGGCUAACUACGUGCCAGCAGCCGCGGUAAUACGUAGGGUGCAAGCGUUAAUCGGAAUUACUGGGCGUAAAGCGUGCGCAGGCGGGUAUAUAAGACAGAUGUGAAAUCCCCGGGCUCAACCUGGGAACUGCAUGUGUGACUGUAUAGCUAGAGUACGGUAGAGGGGGAUGGAAUUCCGCGUGUAGCAGUGAAAUGCGUAGAUAUGCGGAGGAACACCGAUGGCGAAGGCAAUCCCCUGGACCUGUACUGACGCUCAUGCACGAAAGCGUGGGGAGCAAACAGGAUUAGAUACCCCAGUAGUCC
This 450-nucleotide ribosomal RNA is filed under the name uncultured bacterium. RNAcentral's name for it is "partial 16S ribosomal RNA". It matches the Rfam family "Bacterial small subunit ribosomal RNA", at positions 354 to 796 of the family's 1533-position model. The record is from RNAcentral.